GAUGAAGAACGUAGCGAAAUGCGAUAAGUAAUGUGAAUUGCAGAAUUCCGUGAAUCAUCGAAUUUUUGAACGCACAUUGCGCCCCCUGGUAUUCCGGGGGGCAUGCCUGUCCGAGCGUCAUUGCUGCCCUCAAGCACGGCUUGUGUGUUGGGCCCCCGCCCCCCGGCUUCGGGGGGCGGGCCCGAAAGGCAGCGGCGGCACCGCGUCCGGUCCUCGAGCGUAUGGGGCUUCGUCACCCGCUCUGUAGGCCCGGCCGGCGCCCGCCGGCGACCCCAAUCAAUCUUUCCAGGUUGACCUCGGAUCAGGUAGGGAUACCCGCUGAACUUAAGCAUAUCAAUAAGCGGAGGA
This 348-nucleotide unclassified non-coding RNA is filed under the name soil metagenome. RNAcentral describes it as "partial contains 5.8S ribosomal RNA, internal transcribed spacer 2, and large subunit ribosomal RNA". The stretch from base 1 to 120 matches the Rfam family "5.8S ribosomal RNA", at positions 35 to 154 of the family's 154-position model. The record is from RNAcentral.